RNAcentral lists this ribosomal RNA (1847 nucleotides) under Eualus gaimardii. RNAcentral's name for it is "eukaryotic LSU rRNA". The stretch from base 235 to 1456 matches the Rfam family "Eukaryotic large subunit ribosomal RNA", at positions 665 to 1888 of the family's 3401-position model. Lineage: Eukaryota; Metazoa; Arthropoda; Malacostraca; Decapoda; Hippolytidae. The record is from RNAcentral.
CCGCACGCCCGCUCCGCCGGUUUACUUCUCCCGAAUCCAGUAGCACGCCGCGAGCCCCCGGCUUGCCCUCCCCGAAGGCCGUCCCGGACUGGUAGGCCCGACUCCUCGCGGGUCGGGACGACGACCGGCGGCGGCUCGGGACUGGGAGGGCCCGGGGGUCACUGCAAGGAGCCUCCGUGAGGAGCCUCUCGCGGCGAUGAAUCGGUCGUCCACCCGACCCGUCUUGAAACACGGACCAAGGAGUCCAACAAAGGCGCGAGUCGAAGGGUCGCUUCAGACCCGGAGGCGAAAUGAAAGUGAGCCGUUUGAAUUCCAAAGGCAGGCCGAUCCCCGGCCGGCGCUGUUCAGCGCCGCGCAGGACGGACUCAGCCCCGGCCCGCCCCUCCGUGGGCGGUUGCUCGAGGGCGGCCCUGGCCUGCGCGGCCCGGCGUCCGGCGCCGGGGCCGCGGUCAAGGCUUCGGUUCCCCUCACGGGGUUCCGGGGCCCGCCGCGGCCUUUUGGCGAGCCAUGACCUGGCAGGGGCGCAGGCCGAGGACUUGCCGCCCAGCGGGCCGGGCGACAGGUGCCCUCAGCCCCUCUCGGGGGGCGGGGCGCCCUAACCCGGUCAUUCUCCGCUGGCAAGUACCUGGGAGCGCCGACGUUGGGACCCGAAAGAUGGUGAACUAUGCCUGGCAAGGACGAAGCCAGAGGAAACUCUGGUGGAGGUCCGAAGCAGUUCUGACGUGCAAAUCGAUUGUCAGAGCUGGGUAUAGGGGCGAAAGACUAAUCGAACCAUCUAGUAGCUGGUUCCCUCCGAAGUUUCCCUCAGGAUAGCUGGCGCUCGUGAUGAACGAGUUUCAUCCGGUAAAGCGAAUGACUAGAGGCCUUGGGGGUGCAAUGCCUUCAACCUAUUCUCAAACUUUAAAUGGGUGAGACCUGGAGCUUGCUUGAUCUCAUGAAGCUCUAUGAUGAACGAGAAUCGGAGUGCCUAGUGGGCCACUUUUGGUAAGCAGAACUGGCGCUGUGGAUGAACCAAACGCACGAGUUAAGGGGCCAAAAGGAACGCUAAUGUAGACACUACGAAAAGGUGUUGGUUGCUAUAGACAGCAGGUCGGUGGCCAUGGAAGUCGGAACCCGCUAAGGAGUGUGUAACAACUCACCUGCCGAAGCAACUAGCCCUUAAAAUGGUAUGGCGCUGAAGCGUUCUCCCGAUACUCGGCCGCUGGGGCAGUGAUCGGCCCGGCCCCGGACUCCGGGGGCCGGAUCUCGAGGCCCCAGCGAGUAGGAGGGUCGCCGCGGUGCGCGUCGAAGGGACCUCGGCGCGAGCCGGCCCGGAGCCGCCGCGAGCGCAGAUCUUGGUGGUAGUAGCAAAUAAUCAAGAGAGAACCUCGUUGACUGAUGUGGAGAAGGGUUCCAUGUCAACAUCAGUUGAACAUGGGUGAGUCAGACCUAAGCCCAAGGAUAAACUUCCUGUGUCCCAUGUGUUCCGCAGGCGGCCCAGACCAAGCGGUCGGUAGAGGCUAGACAAGCCCUGGUGGCUGCUGAGCAGUCCUGCACGGGGGGGAAUAUAAAAGAAUGGCCAAGGCAGAGAGAAGUUCUAAUCCAAGGGGGGUGGUGGUGGUGACAAAAAACCUGGCGGGCACGCCGUGGUGUUCAGAGUGAGAGCUAGUCUAAGAGCACUAGGAGUCGUGGAAAUAAAUAAAAGGGAGUGAGAGAGAGACAGAGAAGCCCUCCGUCAGUCAACAACACCACACGCAGAGAGAUUAUUUUUCGAUAAUUUGGUCGGACCAACCUUGAACCCCUGGUGUAUGUGGGGGUGAGGCAAAGACCAGUGGCAAACAAUUUUUGAAGGCAAAAAGAUUUAAACC